Molecule: long non-coding RNA, 1011 nt
Filed under: Anas platyrhynchos platyrhynchos (common mallard)
Lineage: Eukaryota; Metazoa; Chordata; Aves; Anseriformes; Anatidae
Description: lncRNA (ENSAPLG00000027097.1)
Source: RNAcentral
GUUGGAACUGGGUCUUUUGGGGACCAAAUUUUGGGUCAGAACUGGGACUUCUGGGGACAGUUUUUUUGGGUCAGAACCAGGACUUUCGGGGAUGGUGUUUCGGGGCAGAAUCGGGACCACAUUUUGGGUUGGAACUGGGUCUUUUGGGCCCCGUUUUAGGUCAGAACUGGGUCUUUUGGGGACAGCGUUCUGGGGCAGAAUUGGGAUCACUUUUUGGGUUGGAACCAGGACUUUUCGGAAUGAUGUUUUGGGUCGGAAUUGGGACCAGAUUUUGGGUCAGAACCGGGUCUUUUGGGGAUGGCAUUUCGGGGUGGAAUCGGGACCACAUUUUGGGGCAGAAUCAGGACCACUUUUUGGGGUUGGAACCGGGUCUUUUGGGGACGUUAUUUUGGGGCAGAACCGGGACCUUUGGGGACGGUGUUUGGGGGUGGAAUCGGGACCACAUUUCGGGUGGGAACCGGGUCUUUCGGGGGAUGGCAUUUUGGGGCAGAACUGGGACCAAAUUUUGGGUCAGAACCGGGUCUUUUGGGGACAGUGUUUUGGGGCAGAACUGGGACCACAUUGGGAUGGCAUUUUGGGGCAGAAUCGGGACCAGAUUUUGGGUUGGAACUGGGACUUUUGGGGACGGCAUUUUGGGGCAGAACUGGGACCACAUUUCGGGGCGGAAUUGGGACCAGAUUUUGGGUCGGAAUCAGGCCUGUGUUUUGGGUCAGAACCGGGUCUUUUGGGGACAGUAUUUCGAGUCAGAAUUGGGACCAGAUUUUGGGUCGGAACUGGGUCUUUUGGGGACAUUAUUUUGGGUCAGAACUGGGUCUUUUGGGAAUCAUGUUUCAGGGCAGAAUCGGGGCCACAUUUUGGGUUGGAACUGGGUCUUUUGGGGACAUUAUUUUGGGUCAGAACCGGGUCUUUCGGGAAUGAUGUUUCGAGUGGGACCUGGGCCUGCGUUUUGGGUGAAAACCCGUCCGUUUCGGUGUCAGGGUGGACGUGGCGGGCGCUGUCAGGGCUUUUGGG